CCCCCGAUAGAAGAAUGUGAAACGUCACCUCCUUAUUCAUAACCCACUGAAACAUAACCCCUGCACCAAAACAACUAGUGAGGGGAUUCAGACACCUUAGUCCAACCUUACUUAUCCUACAGUUUUACUCAGUGUAUUAUUGCCCUGGUGCCUAGGAAUGUAUUGCUCUCAAUGUACUGCCUCAAAGGAGACAGUGUUGAUGUUUAAGGGGAGCACUUCGGGGGGGGGGGGGGGUAUUUAUUAAUUCAUUGAUUAAUUACCAUGUACACUUGUUCGUAUUUUAUUUUCUUCUUCCCUGGCCUGGUACAGCACCUUCUUUCUUCCCUGGCCUGGAUACAGCACCUUUCUUCUUCCCUGGCCUGGGUACAGCACCUUUCUUCUCCCUGGCCUGGAUACAGCACCUUUCUUCUUCCCUGGCCUGGAUACAGCACCUUUCUUCUUCCCUGGCCUGGGAUACAGCACCUUUCUUCUUCCCUGGCCUGGAUACAGCACCUUUCUUCUCCCUGGCCUGGGUACAGCACCUUUCUUCUUCCCUGGCCUGGAUACAGCACCUUUCUUCUUCCCUGGCCUGGAUACAGCACCUUUCUUUCUCUCCAUUAUAUUAGGACUAGAGAUAGUGUCACGAUCCUGAGAUGGAACAAUGGUUUACUGUUGAUUGAUUGAACACUGGUUUACUGUUGAUUGAUUGAACAAUGGUUUACUGUUGAUUGAUUGAACAAUGGUUUACUGUUGAUUGAUUGAACAAUGGUUUACUGUCGAUUGAUGGAACAAUGGUUUACUGUUGAUUGAUUGAACGAUGGUUUACUGUUGCUGGGACUGCAACACCACAGUGCAGUUACCCUUUUCCCUAUACAGUACACUACUUUUGACCGGGCACUGGUCAAAAGUACUGUCCUAUAUAUGAAAUAGGGUGCCAUUUGGGACGCAAGGAAUAUCAUGUGCUGGCUGUCGGGUGAGUUGGUUUGUGUUGGAGGCUGUUGAGGCAAAAGGCUGUGGGCUAGCCUGGCCCUGAUUGGGUGUGUUGUAUAUUCUGUUCAUUGUCUUACGUCAGAUAGCACAAUGAUUCCACCUGCAACCGUCGGUUGAGGGACGAGCCUCGCGUAGAUGUGAUGCCACCUGACGUAAGACAAUGGUACAACUCUGACGCAGCAGACCAAAGGUCAGGACCCGGUUAGUUAUGGUAACUCAGAGCAGACCAUAGGUCAGGACCCGGUUAGUUACGGUAACUCAGCAGACCGUAAGUCAGGACCCGGUUAGUUACGGUAACUCAGAGCAGACCAUAGGUCAGGACCCGGUUAGUUACGGUAACUCAGAGCAGACCAUAGGUCAGGACCCGGUUAGUUACGGUAACUCAGGACCCUGUUAGUUACGGUAACUCAGGAUCCUGUUAGUUACGGUAACUCAGAGCAGAUCGUAAGUCAGGACCCUGUUAGUUACGGUAACUCAGAGCAGACCAUAGGUCAGGACCCGGUUAGUUACGGUAACUCAGCAGACCGUAAGUCAGGACCCGGUUAGUUACGGUAACUCAGAG
Salvelinus sp. IW2-2015 is the source of this 1531-nucleotide non-coding RNA. Lineage: Eukaryota; Metazoa; Chordata; Actinopteri; Salmoniformes; Salmonidae. The record is from RefSeq and is a predicted model, not a curated record.